This 162-nucleotide ribosomal RNA is filed under the name uncultured bacterium. RNAcentral describes it as "partial 16S ribosomal RNA". It matches the Rfam family "Bacterial small subunit ribosomal RNA", at positions 1339 to 1500 of the family's 1533-position model. The record is from RNAcentral.
UAAUCGCAGAUCAGCAUGCUGCGGUGAAUACGUUCCCGGGCCUUGUACACACCGCCCGUCACACCAUGGGAGUCGGUAACACCCGAAGCCUGUAGUCUAACCGCAAGGAGGACGCAGUCGAAGGUGGGAUUGAUGACUGGGGUGAAGUCGUAACAAGGUAGC